UACAGAGGUCUCAAGCGUUGUUCGGAUUCAUUGGGCGUAAAGGGUGCGUAGGUGGCAGGGUAAGUCGGAUGUGAAAUCCCGGGGCUCAACCUCGGAACUGCAUUCGAUACUGCUUGCUGGAGUACUGGAGAGGAGAUUGGAAUUUACGGUGUAGCAGUGAAAUGCGUAGAUAUCGUAAGGAAGACCAGUGGCGAAAGCGGAUCUCUGGACAGUUACUGACACUGAGGCACGAAGGCCAGGGAGCAAACGGG
This 251-nucleotide ribosomal RNA is filed under the name uncultured bacterium. RNAcentral's name for it is "partial 16S ribosomal RNA". It matches the Rfam family "Bacterial small subunit ribosomal RNA", at positions 524 to 776 of the family's 1533-position model. The record is from RNAcentral.